This 220-nucleotide unclassified non-coding RNA is filed under the name plant metagenome. Its description in RNAcentral is "partial contains small subunit ribosomal RNA, internal transcribed spacer 1, and 5.8S ribosomal RNA". The record is from RNAcentral.
UUUCCGUAGGUGAACCUGCGGAAGAAUCAUUACAGAGUUCAUGCCCUCACGGGUAGAUCUCCCACCCUUGAAUAUUUAUACCUUAGUUGCUUUGGCAGGCCGUGGAAACACCAUGGGCUCCGGCUUAUGCGUGCCUGCCAGAGGAAACAAACUCUGUUUUUAGUGAUGUCUGAGUACUAUAUAAUAGUUAAAACUUUCAACAACGGAUCUCUUGGUUCUG